CUUAACCGCAAAGCAAGUCACCUUGAUUCGCAUGUUCUCCAGCCUAUUUGUCUUCUGUGCGUUUUGCGCUUAUCUUCUUUGUCUAUCGUAAUGGUGGCAUUUCCGUUUACGGUCGCAUGCGAUUGCCUCAUUCCUACGCAUAAACACAAGCGAAUUGCUCCGGCUGCAGGCAACCACUCAAUAAAAUCCACCAGCAAAAUAGUGAAGGGGCGGUUGGUUGGGUUAAAGGGUUGUGGCAAUGGUGGUUGAAAAUAGUGAAAUAAGAAAGUACAUAAAAUGCAAAUGAUUCAAAUAUAAAAAUAUCAAUCUAUAAUUACAAUCGCAUCUUGACAGUUUUCGCGCGGAUACGAGAUUACCAUGCGAGCAACACAAUGGGCUCCAACGCGCGCUGGUGGCGGACAAUGACCGCAUCGGGUGAGCAACCACAGCCCGGCAACAUAAAUUCUGCUGGGCAAAGCAAUCGCAGUUACGGCAUUCAAACGCACGCCAAACCGAUUCUGAUAUUGCUUUGUUAUUGCUGUGCCACAUUGGGAGUUGAGGACAUCCAUUGAGUUAUGAUUGUGGUAAAAAUGUAAUUUGUCUUUUGUAAACACUCACCUACAACUACAAUGUAUCAAUAAAAGCUACUGGAUCGCUGA
Bactrocera oleae (olive fruit fly) is the source of this 638-nucleotide long non-coding RNA. RefSeq lists it as uncharacterized. The record is from RefSeq and is a predicted model, not a curated record. Lineage: Eukaryota; Metazoa; Arthropoda; Insecta; Diptera; Tephritidae.